Molecule: transfer RNA, 76 nt
Filed under: Trianaea nobilis
Lineage: Eukaryota; Viridiplantae; Streptophyta; Magnoliopsida; Solanales; Solanaceae
Description: partial tRNA-Leu
Rfam family: tRNA
About the family: Transfer RNA (tRNA) molecules are approximately 80 nucleotides in length. Their secondary structure includes four short double-helical elements and three loops (D, anti-codon, and T loops).
Source: RNAcentral
GCGAAAUCGGUAGACGCUACGGACUUAAAAUCCGUCGACUUUAAAAAUCGUGAGGGUUCAAGUCCCUCUAUCCCCA